GACGAACGCUGGCGGCGUGCUUAACACAUGCAAGUCGAACGGAAAGGCCCUGCUUUUGUGGGGUGCUCGAGUGGCGAACGGGUGAGUAACACGUGAGUAACCUGCCCUUGACUUUGGGAUAACUUCAGGAAACUGGGGCUAAUACCGGAUAGGAGCUCCUGCUGCAUGGUGGGGGUUGGAAAGUUUCGGCGGUUGGGGAUGGACUCGCGGCUUAUCAGCUUGUUGGUGGGGUAGUGGCUUACCAAGGCUUUGACGGGUAGCCGGCCUGAGAGGGUGACCGGACACAUUGGGACUGAGAUACGGCCCAGCCUCCUACGGGAGGCAGCAGUGGGGAAUAUUGCACAAUGGGCGGAAGCCUGAUGCAGCAAAGCAGCGUGCGGGAUGACGGCAAUCGGGUUGUAAACCGAUUUCCCCUGAGACGAGGCGUGAGUGACGGUAAUGGGUGAAGAAGCACCGGCUAACUACGUG
RNAcentral lists this ribosomal RNA (468 nucleotides) under uncultured bacterium. RNAcentral's name for it is "partial 16S ribosomal RNA". It matches the Rfam family "Bacterial small subunit ribosomal RNA", at positions 28 to 507 of the family's 1533-position model. The record is from RNAcentral.